AGAUGAUGAUGCGGACAAUUUCUUUGAAGCUCUUUGAAGCGUUCCCAAGCUUGGUAUAGAGAUUCACCAUGUAAUUGGAGAAAAUCUAUAAUUUCCUUGGUCAUCCU
Molecule: small nucleolar RNA, 107 nt
Organism: Mercurialis annua (annual mercury)
Lineage: Eukaryota; Viridiplantae; Streptophyta; Magnoliopsida; Malpighiales; Euphorbiaceae
Source: RefSeq, a predicted model, not a curated record